Molecule: transfer RNA, 73 nt
Filed under: Lepisosteus oculatus (spotted gar)
Lineage: Eukaryota; Metazoa; Chordata; Actinopteri; Semionotiformes; Lepisosteidae
Rfam family: tRNA
About the family: Transfer RNA (tRNA) molecules are approximately 80 nucleotides in length. Their secondary structure includes four short double-helical elements and three loops (D, anti-codon, and T loops).
Source: Rfam by way of RNAcentral
CCCCGGCUAGCUCUGUUGGUAGAGCAUGAGACUCAGAAUCUCAGGGUAGUGGGUUCGUGACCCACGCUGGGCG